AUGACUUCUGGGUACAGCUAAAGGAAAUGAAGGGUUUCCUUCAUGUGAGGGGUUGUUGGAGUAGCCAAAACCUCGACUCAAUUUUUCCAACACCUCAUAAAGCGUGAGCUAUGCAUGUGCAUGAGGGCUGAAAUGAUUCAUGGCACCAUAGAAACAUAAACUCACAGCUUCCUGCCACACAUACGGAGUCGGUAAGGUCUGCCUGUGAUCUCAUAUCAAAAACACCAUUAGGACUCUGAAGUUCAACCUGCUCUCUGAGGACACAUUCAUCUCAGGAACUUCUUAAAGGUUGUGCUUGGACCGCUGCCCUCAGUGGAGGUGUAAUCAUUCACUGUACAGUGCAGACGUCAGCUUUACUGGUACCAGAUGGAGAGACCGAGCCUGUGUUUACCUGGACCAGCGGACACAUAUAUAAAUGUCCCAGACCGAUAUGUGAAAUCUGACCUCAGGCCAGCCAGAGAGGCUGUUCUCCAUCCAGUCCAGAUGUUCAGACAGACCGGAGGAGCUGAAAAUCAAAGCAGGGGGGAAGAACAAAACCCACCACACACAGAUCAGAGGGCUGUGUUCUCCAGGACAGAGAGGGGUCUUCUGGGUACUGGCUGAACUGACAACCCCUGGAGCAGCUACGCGACGCUCUGCACAAAUUAAACUGACAGCAGUUUUCUCCACAGAAACUAUAAAGUCCUGACAAGCAUAAAAUUGUGUUAUGUACAGUUAUUUGCCUAGGCUGUUGUUUAUACUGAGAAAAAACACUCUUAUAUGUUUUCAGUGGUGUUUACUCAUACUAAAAUACUCUGACAGUGUCAUUCAGCAGUGACAUGACACCGCUUCUAAAUCAACAGCAUGAAAUAGAGAGCGUAGUGUAGUUUGAUUCCUGAAUGAACAACUCUGGUUCUUAAUGAAUCAAAAAAUUGUAGUGUGACCAGUAUAGUCUGAUUCCGAAUGAAUAUAUCUUUAGAGACUGUUUUUAAAUCAAAAAUAUACAGUGCGACCUGUCUAGUCCUGAUCCUGAAUGAAAUGACUCUUAUGAGUUGACUCGUUUUAGUGAAUCACAUACUUAGAAUCCAGCCAGUACAGUUCAAUUCCCGAACAAAUCCCUCUUAUGAACCAGUACUUUUUAGCGAUUUAAAAAGAUGCAGCACAGCUAGUCCAAUUCUGAAAAAAAUCCAUCUUUUUUGAGCCUGUUUUGUGAAUCAGAAAUAUACAGCACAAAAGCAGUAUAGUCUGGAACCCGAAUGAAAUGACUCUUAUGGGUUUAGUGAAUCAUGUACUUAUAGCACCACCAGUGUAGUUUUAAUUUAUGAAUCACUCUUAUGAACUGGUUCUUUUUAGUGAUGCUGCAGAGUCCGACUCCCAAACGAACAACUCUUAUGAUUCAAUUCUUUUUAAUGAAUCAAACACAUUUAGCAUGGCCAGUGUAAUUAAAUUUUGAAGGAACCAGUCUUCUGAGCCAGUUUUGUAAAUCACAAAUAAACAGUGUGACCAGUGUAGACCA
Molecule: long non-coding RNA, 1495 nt
Organism: Cyprinus carpio (common carp)
Lineage: Eukaryota; Metazoa; Chordata; Actinopteri; Cypriniformes; Cyprinidae
Source: Ensembl